RNAcentral lists this ribosomal RNA (664 nucleotides) under Staphylococcus sp. 846C1. RNAcentral describes it as "bacterial SSU rRNA". It matches the Rfam family "Bacterial small subunit ribosomal RNA", at positions 730 to 1389 of the family's 1533-position model. The record is from RNAcentral. Lineage: Bacteria; Bacillati; Bacillota; Bacilli; Caryophanales; Staphylococcaceae.
UGGUCUGUAACUGACGCUGAUGUGCGAAAGCGUGGGGAUCCAACAGGAUUUAGAUACCCUGGUAGUCCACGCCGUAAACGAUGAGUGCUAAGUGUUAGGGGGUUUCCGCCCCUUAGUGCUGCAGCUAACGCAUUAAGCACUCCGCCUGGGGAGUACGACCGCAAGGUUGAAAACUCAAAGGAAUUGACGGGGACCCGCACAAGCGGUGGAGCAUGUGGUUUAAUUCGAAGCAACGCGAAGAACCUUACCAAAUCUUGACAUCCUUUGACCCUUCUAGAGAUAGAAGUUUCCCCUUCGGGGGACAAAGUGACAGGUGGUGCAUGGUUGUCGUCAGCUCGUGUCGUGAGAUGUUGGGUUAAGUCCCGCAACGAGCGCAACCCUUAAGCUUAGUUGCCAUCAUUAAGUUGGGCACUCUAAGUUGACUGCCGGUGACAAACCGGAGGAAGGUGGGGAUGACGUCAAAUCAUCAUGCCCCUUAUGAUUUGGGCUACACACGUGCUACAAUGGACAAUACAAAGGGCAGCGAAACCGCGAGGUCAAGCAAAUCCCAUAAAGUUGUUCUCAGUUCGGAUUGUAGUCUGCAACUCGACUACAUGAAGCUGGAAUCGCUAGUAAUCGUAGAUCAGCAUGCUAACGGUGAAUACGUUCCCGGGUCUUGUACAUC